This 482-nucleotide ribosomal RNA is filed under the name uncultured bacterium. Its description in RNAcentral is "partial 16S ribosomal RNA". It matches the Rfam family "Bacterial small subunit ribosomal RNA", at positions 30 to 507 of the family's 1533-position model. The record is from RNAcentral.
AUUGAACACUGGCGGCAUGCUUUACACAUGCAAGUCGAACGGCAGCGCGGGGCAACCUGGCGGCGAGUGGCGAACGGGUGAGUAAUAUAUCGGAACGUACCCAGAAGUGGGGGAUAACGUAGCGAAAGUUACGCUAAUACCGCAUACGAUCUACGGAUGAAAGUAGGGGACCGCAAGGCCUUAUGCUUUUGGAGCGGCCGAUAUCUGAUUAGCUAGUUGGUGAGGUAAAGGCUCACCAAGGCGACGAUCAGUAGCUGGUCUGAGAGGACGACCAGCCACACUGGAACUGAGACACGGUCCAGACUCCUACGGGAGGCAGCAGUGGGGAAUUUUGGACAAUGGGCGCAAGCCUGAUCCAGCAAUGCCGCGUGAGUGAAGAAGGCCUUCGGGUUGUAAAGCUCUUUUGUCAGGGAAGAAACGGUAGAGGCUAAUAUCCUUUGCUAAUGACGGUACCUGAAGAAUAAGCACCGGCUAACUACGUG